GUGCUCACUCUGGCAGCACAUAUAUUAACACUGGAACAAUACAAAGAAGAUUAGCAUGGCCCCUGCGCAAGGCUGAUAUGCAAAUGCGUGAAGCAUUCCAUAUUUUU
RNAcentral lists this small nuclear RNA (107 nucleotides) under Chinchilla lanigera (long-tailed chinchilla). The record is from RNAcentral. Lineage: Eukaryota; Metazoa; Chordata; Mammalia; Rodentia; Chinchillidae.